GUGAAGAGCUUUGUCUGAAGCAGGACAGUGGAAAUCUUUCUGAGAUGAAGGAACACUUUCUGGGAAGGCUUCAGCUUGAAUCUCUCUCUCAUCUUGCCUUCCAGAGCUUGGGCUCCCUUGGAUGUUCGUGUAUGUCCCUGUGAGAAGUUGCCAUAGAGUCCUGAAGGAAAAGCUUGGGGAGUUUUCUCCUCCAACAUAUAACCACUUUCAGCUAAAUAUUUGGUGCAACUGGACCAUAUGGGCAGGCUCCAGAAAACACAUCAUCAUUUAUAUCAAAGGAUUUAUGACCGAUGAGGACUGUGACAAAAAUGAGGAUAAAAUCCUAUUUCAAGGAGUCUCUUCAUUAGUAGGGAACACUGUCAUCUAUGCUUGUUGGAACAAGAAGAUUCAUGUCUUUGCCACCUAUGCCCGGGCUGUCCAUGUAGUAUUUCUGAUGAAGUAUUCUUCAAACCCUAAAAACAAAUACUUUAAAGGAAAGUAUUAUAUAUUCAAACACCGUGACAUUGACUCCUCUUCUGAAGAUAUCUUAGUUUCUGGACCCCCUAUUCCAAAAUCAAAGAGAACUAGUCACAGCACUCCCAGAUUUAACAAAGUAUCAGUAAUAUACCAUGGAGAGAUUUCAGAUAAUACAAACAUUAGUACAGCUUCAAAUACUGAGAAUCUUAACAAGACAACUGUACUUAAUAACACAGGGUUAUUACAGGUAGGGGGUGAAAGUCAAAAUGUCACAGUUCUUGAAAAUUCUCUUCAGCUUAUACCUCAGCAUGGUGCAAGGAUUCAACCUUUCAAACCAGAAGCUCAGAGCUUGCUGGAGUCUCUCAAUUUGUCUACAACAUCGAUGGACAAAGAAAAGAGUCUUGGCAUAGGAAAGUCUUUUGGAAUGCUACCCCAAACUGCAGCACCUGAUAUCAGGGAGCUGAGACCCUCAGAGAGUGAAGAGGUCCUGGUGGACUUUAGCAAGAUGUACAGGCCAAAAAGUCUUCCAGGCUUUCUUUCUGAGACUCCUUACUUAAGUGUUUCUCAUCUAACUGACCCCUUGAAAUCUAUGGAGUUAGAAGGACUAGAGAGCCAAAUGUCCUUCAUACUCACUAGUUUGAAGCAAACUAAUAUGGGAGAUUUACAACUGAAAAUAAAUCCAACACCUCUGAGUUACCCUGUCCUGGACUCGUAUUUGCAUUCCCUAGCCCAUGACAGAGUAGAAACCAUAGGAGACAAUGAGAUUGGCUCUACCCCUUCCCAAAGUCUCAGCAUGGUUACCUUGGUGAAUGAUGAAAAUCCUUUGCAGUCAAACAUCUUGGCUUAUAAAGUGAUGAGCAAUCACAGUGAUAGCCUUGUGAAAGGUUCAUUGCCUAGCCUCAGAAUGACCAAUCCGGAUCAAGUGGUGCUUGGUGAUCAGUCACAGCCUGAGACAAGGGGAAUGGAUAAAGCUGGAAGUUACCAAAUAAGUUUGACUCAGAGGGUCAGUGGAGAUAAGUCUGUAACUGAACUGGAUCUGAGAACAACGAACCUCAAAACUAUUGACCCUCUUGAUGUUUCUGUUCCGGAAAGUUCUAUGGAAGUCAUUGACCAGCCAGAAAUCACGUUGGUUACUGCAGCACCAUAUGGUUUGUCAGACAGUGAGCGCCACUUGAGGCUCCAAAGCAGUCAACAUGUGGAUUCAGCUUCUAUAGAACUAGAAAGCAUCCUUCCAAGUACAGAAGCGUCCCUGCAUCUCACUGCUGAGGUAAAUGUGUCAGAGAUGCUCUAUUUGGGCAUGAAAAGCAGCCAACAGGUGGGCCUGGUUACAGGACUGGAGUCACUUCCAAGUACAGACGUUUCUCUUCCUCCAGCUGCCUCAGAACUAAUGCUCACUCCAAGUACAGAAACCUCCCUUCCUGUCCUUCUCACGGAACUGGAGCCAGUCAUCCCCUUCCCACAUACAGAACCAUCCCUUUCUCCAACUGCCUCAGAACUGGGCCCUCUCCUCUUCCCAAGCCCAGAAGUGUCCCUUUCUGUGUUUCCCACAGAAACAGAGCCUGUCACCUCAGCACUGGAGCCUGUCAUCCCUUUCCUAAGUACAGAACCAUCCCUUCCUCCAGCUGCCUCAGAACUGAGACCUGUCCCCUUCCCAGGGACAGAAGUGACCUUUCCUCUGACUGCUGUGGAACUGGAGCCUGUCAUCCCAAGUAGAGAAGCAUCUCUUCCUCCAACUGCACUUAAAAAUGAGCUCCAUUUGAGAACAAAAAGCAACCACUACAUUGACGCUGACACAGAGCUAGAUCAUAUCCCUCUAAGUACAACUGUGCUGCUUCAUCCAGCUGCUCAGGAGGAGGACCUGUUGGAAGGCAAGCCUCCCUCAAAGCCACACAGUGACUGCUAUGGGGCUCCAGCUGCUACUGAACACAGACAUGCCCUCCCAAGUACAACACAGUCUCUUAAUUUCUUUCUUCAAGAAAAGAAAAUAGGUGUCCAACAAUCAAUGCUAAAAGGUGAGAGAAAGGAGAGCAUCCAUGAGGCAGAAACUGCACAACCUGGAAAGGCUGGUGAAAGGAACUUAAUCACAAACUUCAUCAUUGGCAACUUCUUCUCAGACACCACUCAGCUGCAAGCCUUAAAACCAGAACCUGAGCUUGGACGUCUUAGAUCUGAGGGCCAUACAAGUAAAGUUUCUCCAGUAACUGAGUACCUCUCUAAAACACCGUUAUUGGUAACAAGGAUGGAUAGAGUAAAGCAAAAUGAGCUAAUGUUUAAAAAUGGUCUUAUGACCUCUAACACGAGGGCUACUCCACCUCUGGAGCACAUAGCCAUGAAUACUCAAGUUAAAUUGACUGAUCCCGUAAAGGAGAUCAGUAACAUAACACUGAAACAAAUAUUCCCAGAUACCACACAACCUCAUGAAGUGCAGCAAACCACUGAGUGGAGCAGUGCCUCUCAGAGCUCUGCUAGUGCGUAUAGUAAUGCUCUGACUCCAGCUAAGAAACUGGCANGUCCAGCUAAGAAACUGGCUCUGAAAGAGAGCAUAGCUUCACAUCCUGUCCAAUCGUCUUCUGCUCGCGCACCUGAGAAUGCGUCAACUUCAGAAGCAAGACUCCUCCUGAACUACAUUGUGCCAAAAUUACCUUGGUUGUUGCUGUAUCUUCCUGUAAGAAGUUGCCACGUCACCUUGAAAGAUGAAAUUGGGACAUUUUCCCCACCGGCACAUAGUGGUAUUCAAACCAACAUCUGGUGCAACUGGACCAUUUGGGCAGGCCCCCAAAAACACAUCUUGAUUUACAUAAAGGGAUUUCAGGGGAAGGAAGAUUGUGAUGAAAACCCAGAUAAAAUAAUUUUUCAAGGGGUCUUGUCAAGUGUAGAAAGAAAAGUAGUCUAUGCUUGUAAGAACCAAGGUACUCUGAUCUUUGCUACUCAAGCUUUGGCUGUCCAUGUUGUGUUUCUGUCCAAGGGCAAUUCCUUAAACCGUGAACGCAAAUAUUUCAAAGGACAGUAUUAUGUGUUCAAAGACUAUGAAACUUCAAGAUCUACUGCAGCUCCUCAAGAGCCAGUUCAGAAAACAACUAGGAGAACUAAGCAUGGCAGUAUCCGAUUCUACCCUAAAUCACCCAUAAAACACUACAGAGGUCUUCUGGAUUUUGUAAAGACCAGCACAGCUCAUAAUGAAAAUCAACAGCUUAACAAGCUUCCUAUGUUAGACAAAGAAGGUUGGCACAAAAAUGGAAGCUCAACAAGACUAGAAACUUUAAGAUUUGUUCUUGGGAACAACACACACAUCCCUCUAUUAAAAGCCAUGGACAACAUGACCUUCAGCAAUCAUGAUCUGAAGUGGCAGCAGUUUAUGAAAUCUUUGGAUAAUGAAAACAGUAGGGAAGAAAAACGUUCGGACUUUCUAAUGGUAACCCCAGCAUUAAAUAUAUUGAGGCUAAACAUCCAAAAUGAGAGAGAGCAAACUAUUGCUUUCAGUAAACUUAUGGACAGGCCAACAAUCCACUCAAACCUGGUCUCUGAGACUCUGCAUUUAAAGAAGCCCAUUAAAUCUGUGGAGAUGCCAAGUGUCAAAACAACCAAGUCAGUAGGACCCCAGCACAGCUCAGUUGCUCUCUGGAGACCAGCUACUAUGGAAGACCUACAGACAGAGGCAAUUCAAGCUGUGCAUAGAGAUCCUACUCCUCAUCAUGUCUUGCAAUCUCUGCAGGGCACAUGGGAAAAGCAGAACAUUCGAAUGACCUCUUCUCAAAGCUUUAGAGCUGCACCGAUCAAAGACAGAGAGGUUCUCCAGUCAAACCAUGUGAAUGAUGAGAGUGUGGCCAGUCAUCCUGCUGCUUUUGUGGAAGACUUCCAGUCUAAUGCAGGGCUGAGCAGGGACAGUCAAGAAGUAACUGGUCUGGUACAGUAUGUGAUGAACUUGGAGAGAAGCAUUCAAGAAAGUCAUAGUGAACAUCAAACACACAUAAAGGGAAAUGACAAAGGUGGUCUGUACAUGAAGCCAGCUUCUGCCCUCAAAAAUGUUAAACUUAAUGUUGAGCCUCUUAUUUUGGGAACUCCUAAGAAAGGUCUCAAAACAGAGUCCAUCCUGGUUACUGUAGCUCUACCCAACAUGCUGGAUGUCUCUAGCAGUUACCGUGCAGAGACCACUGCUACUGAAUUCAAACCUGUUCUCCUGAGCAGCACCAGAAAUGGCCCGUUGGGAAAGACAGCUGCUGCUGCACACCUUGGCACUCCAGGAACCCAAGACACAGAACCUCCACUGAUCAUGAGCACAAAAUCACCUCCUUCCUAUGCUGCUUCUGGUGGAGUAUCAAAGGACACUGCAUCCUUGAAAAUAGAACAUGAACAAGAUUCCUUUGGUAAGUAGUUGCUCUAAUCAAACUUUANCCACUGAUCAUGAGCACAAAAUCACCUCCUUCCUAUGCUGCUUCUGGUGGAGUAUCAAAGGACACUGCAUCCUUGAAAAUAGAACAUGAAAAAGAUUCCUUUGGUAAGUAGUUGUUCUAAUCAAACUUUGAUUAAAUUAUCUACUUGGAUUGGCAGAUAUAUGGUCAUGUU
Molecule: long non-coding RNA, 5019 nt
Organism: Gopherus agassizii (Agassiz's desert tortoise)
Lineage: Eukaryota; Metazoa; Chordata; Testudines; Testudinidae
Source: Ensembl